CUUUGGGCCGAACGAUUCCCCACAAAGAGCGCUUCUCGCUUCUAGAAGAUGCUACCACUGUGGCGAAGCAUGUGGGGGAGAUAGAAUUAGAAUGGCAUAUCUUACCACACCCUCGGUAAAAACUUACUAGAUAGGUAUAUAUAUUCUCAUCUUUAUUUUAGAGGAGAGUUUAGGAAGUAUUGCUUUUACAGAUUUAUUAUUCAAAAGAAAACUGGGAUCUUCUGGAAUUAAGCCGUAUGUUCCCCCUAAUUUUAAAGUUGGGAUGUCUCACGUCACCAGUUUAGAAGCGUCCUGGAUUUAAAGGGGUAGCCCUAGGUUCCGACGUCAGCCCUUGAACUUCCGGCAAGAGGGAAAAAGUACCGAGUACGUAGAGCUUCAAGUGUCUGAUACAGGAGGUCUCCCUCUAAUCCUUAUUGUUCAAGAAGUGGCCUACCUCCAAGGAAUGGGAAAUCAUGGCAAUGUUUUUGGCAACCUUUGACUGAAUUACCCUUUAUCUUGGUUCUCCUAGCCUGACUACAUUGGAAUAGGUCAAGAGUUGGGAAUGGGGCGGCUAGAUCUGGCUUCAUCAUCUCCAACUAAACUCUGGUCCAGUUCUAGAGAAUCAAAGAUCUCAAGAGCAGGUUGUUCAGUGCAGACCCUAAAGAGGAUGAAGUUCUUUGGGUGCUUGUGUUUGCAGCUGACACAGCACCAAUUGCAUCAAACUCCAGAAUGCUACUAGGAUAACUAUCCAUACAGGAAACACCAAGUGGAUGAAGAAUGCCAGCUGUGUAGUUCCACAGUUACCAAACAAUUCAAGGCCUCAUUACCUCUUACCUAAACUAAAAAUAGCCUCCUAAGAGGCUUCAUCCCUGCUUCCAAGCCUCCUCCUGCUGCCCAUCCUGCCCAGAGCUUCCAGAUUAGGCUUUCUAAAGCCCUUCAAGCCCGAGUCAAAGAUUUCCAGCUGAAUAGGACCGCAGACAUUAUCUACUUCUUCAUAGGACUCCAAUUCUGUUCUGCCUCGCCUGCUCAAAGUGACUUCUGCUGCCUGUGGGAUAUAGUUCAGACUCCUUUGCCCAGUAAUCUAAUUCCUUCACAAUCUGGUCCCAUUCAUUAAUGAACGUUUACUGAAUACUUCCCCAUAAGUAGGGCAUUUCUGCUCCCCCAUGUGAACUUCCUACAAGAAUAGGACAAUUAAAUUCAGUGGGUUCAGUCAUUUUUCAGUCGUGUCUGAUUCUUCAUGACCCCAUUUAGGGUGUUUUUGGCAAAGAUACUGGAGUCUGCCAUUUCUUUCUCUGGCUCAUUUUACAGAUGAGGAAACUGAGUCAAAAAGGAUUAAGUGAGUUGUCCAGGAUCACACAGCUAAUAAGUGUCUGAGGUCAGACCUGAACUCAGGAAGAGGAAUCUUCUUGACUCCAAGCCUGGCACUGUAACAACCGUUCUAUGUAGCAUUUGUAAAAUGCCUACCAUGUUCAAGGUACCUGGGAGACAUAACAAUGAAGUAGCCCCUAUAGGUCCUAUGCCUUUUAUCAUGAUUUUGCAGAUACUCUUUUUUUUUCAUGCAAACAGGAUUCAGUGACUUACUCAGGGUCAUACAAUUAGUAAAUUGCUAAGGCUAGAUUUGAACUCGAAUCUUCUUGACUCUAAGCCCCAUACUCUAUCCAUUGUACCACACUGCCCCCUUGCAGAUACUCUUCAUCAUGUCUGAAAUGCUCUUACCAACCCCAUCUCCAUCUGUACAAAUUCUAACCAAUCUUUAAGACAUAGCUCGAGCCUUCUAUUCCUUAAAGCUUUCUCAGACCACUGCAGCCCACAAUAAUCUUCCUAUGUUUGUCAUAUUAGUGGAGCACCAGGUCCUGAGUGUGGAUCACCUGAUUUUGAAAUCCGCCUUAGACUCUUAAUAGCUAUAUGAUCUUAAGCAAAUCA
Monodelphis domestica (gray short-tailed opossum) is the source of this 1902-nucleotide long non-coding RNA. RefSeq lists it as uncharacterized. NCBI's taxonomy places the organism in Eukaryota, Metazoa, Chordata, Mammalia, Didelphimorphia, Didelphidae. The record is from RefSeq and is a predicted model, not a curated record.